AGAGUUUGAUCCUGGCUCAGGACGAACGCUGGCGGCGUGCCUAAUACAUGCAAGUAGAACGCUGAAGAGAGGAGCUUGCUCUUCUUGGAUGAGUUGCGAACGGGUGAGUAACGCGUAGGUAACCUGCCUUGUAGCGGGGGAUAACUAUUGGAAACGAUAGCUAAUACCGCAUAACAAUGGAUGACACAUGUCAUUUAUUUGAAAGGGGCAAUUGCUCCACUACAAGAUGGACCUGCGUUGUAUUAGCUAGUAGGUGAGGUAACGGCUCACCUAGGCGACGAUACAUAGCCGACCUGAGAGGGUGAUCGGCCACACUGGGACUGAGACACGGCCCAGACUCCUACGGGAGGCAGCAGUAGGGAAUCUUCGGCAAUGGGGGCAACCCUGACGCAGCAACGCCGCGUGAGUGAAGAAGGUUUUCGGAUCGUAAAGCUCUGUUGUAAGUCAAGAACGAGUGUGAGAGUGGAAAGUUCACACUGUGACGGUAGCUUACCAGAAAGGGACGGCUAACUACGUGCCAGCAGCCGCGGUAAUACGUAGGUCCCGAGCGUUGUCCGGAUUUAUUGGGCGUAAAGCGAGCGCAGGCGGUUUGAUAAGUCUGAAGUUAAAGGCUGUGGCUCAACCAUAGUUCGCUUUGGAAACUGUCAAACUUGAGUGCAGAAGGGGAGAGUGGAAUUCCAUGUGUAGCGGUGAAAUGCGUAGAUAUAUGGAGGAACACCGGUGGCGAAAGCGGCUCUCUGGUCUGUAACUGACGCUGAGGCUCGAAAGCGUGGGGAGCGAACAGGAUUAGAUACCCUGGUAGUCCACGCCGUAAACGAUGAGUGCUAGGUGUUGGAUCCUUUCCGGGAUUCAGUGCCGCAGCUAACGCAUUAAGCACUCCGCCUGGGGAGUACGACCGCAAGGUUGAAACUCAAAGGAAU
Molecule: ribosomal RNA, 920 nt
Filed under: human gut metagenome
Description: bacterial SSU rRNA
Rfam family: Bacterial small subunit ribosomal RNA
Source: RNAcentral